UACAGAGGGGGCAAGCGUUGUUCGGAAUUACUGGGUGUAAAGGGCGCGUAGGCGGCCUGUUAAGUCGAACGUGAAAUCCCUGGGCUCAACCCAGGAACUGCGUCCGAUACUGGCAGGCUUGAAUUCGGGAGAGGGAUGCGGAAUUCCAGGUGUAGCGGUGAAAUGCGUAGAUAUCUGGAGGAACACCGGUGGCGAAGGCGGCAUCCUGGACCGACAUUGACGCUGAGGCGCGAAAGCCAGGGGAGCAAACGGG
RNAcentral lists this ribosomal RNA (253 nucleotides) under uncultured bacterium. RNAcentral's name for it is "partial 16S ribosomal RNA". It matches the Rfam family "Bacterial small subunit ribosomal RNA", at positions 524 to 776 of the family's 1533-position model. The record is from RNAcentral.